ACUCAGAGGACUGUGCAAGGUGCCCUAUUCUGUCAUGUGGUACAUAUUUAAUGCUUGAAAGAACAAGGAAGGGACACGUGCAGGAGAGAGAGAUAGUUGGACCAACACAGAGCUAGCAAUAGCUCUAGUAAAAGACUCGGGAUGGGGAGUAUUAUAGUAUUGCAUAUCUAAUAUACAUACAUUGGUUGUGGGGGCAUACAUAAUCUUAUCUUUGCCAAGCCAACCUUGAAAUCCUUGGCUUUGCCUUGCAUCAGUAGCCCUUUUGUAUCUUUCCUUUGUGUGCUUUUUUAAUUUUAUUCUUUCCUGGGGUUAUGAGCUAUAGGUGCAUCUAGACCUGAUACAAGCACUGAGGCAGGCAGAAAAGCAGAACGGAGCAAACGCGCAGCAAGCACGACAGAUGUCUGUAGUCAUUUAUAUUGCCAGCACGUGGGUGCCGUUUGCUGUUUCCCCUUACUUCUCUUGUGCUCUCCUGGUGAGGAAACAGGAGGCACUUUGCAGCCGACAAUGAAAUCUUGGCAGCUAAUUGCAGUCGUGGGAGAUGCCCUUCAGGAUACUAAAGCAGAGUGCAGUUCCUGUGUAGAAACAGAAGACAGAAAAAUCUCCCUCCAGUGAAAGGCAUUGCGGCUCACCAUUUCUGCCUUUCCAUUUCUCAGGUAGGUAGAGAGGCCUUUGAAGUCUGUUAUCUGGAACACCACACCAUGACUCUUCUUUUUACUGUCUGACCCUUCUCCAGUGCCAGGGCAGUUAUUGUUUGUAUUUCCCUUCUAUUGGAUACAUAAUGUGUAUUUCUGAUGUUUCUACCAUAUUUUGUUUUAUCUGAGUGCUCCUUAGUAUCUACCAGCUCUCUCCUCUCUCUCAGGCUUCCCUAAUUGUCUCUGGCAGAAGUCUGGUUGUGUUUUGAUUCCAUGAUCCUUUUUUAUAAAAGAUCUCUCCUCUCCCUAAAUGUUCCCCAGUUUCCAACAAGUUAACCCCCCAUCCUCUACACAUUGUCAUUCAUAUAUUAGAAUCUUAAUUUCCUUCUGUGAAGUUGGCCAUUAUGUCUGGAACAAGGGAAAACUUCAGACAAAACUACUGAUGAGGCCUUAGAAUUAAACUUUCUUUUAUAAACUAAAUUUAGCUUCCAGGUGCAUUCACCUGUAGUUUCCAGAAUCAUUGGUACUUGCAGAAAAACUAAAACCAAAUAUAUUUGUAUCUGCAUCUCUAUGUCCACAAUUCCUCCCAAGCUCAGUCCAAAAUAUUCAUCUUGAGAACCAACACCUUGUACAGCUAUUAACUAAGGUCAAGUGGAUAUGGAUUCCUGUAUUUAAACUAGCUCCUUUGGAGCAAUUAUGUUUGCAUUGAGAAUAUA
RNAcentral lists this long non-coding RNA (1348 nucleotides) under Chrysemys picta bellii (western painted turtle). RNAcentral's name for it is "lncRNA (ENSCPBG00000026618.1)". The record is from RNAcentral. Lineage: Eukaryota; Metazoa; Chordata; Testudines; Emydidae.